UUUUUUUAACGUGAAUCAUUGAAAAACGUUUACAUGAUCUUUGAAAUGCAAAUCAUCUAUACAAACGGGAGGAUAUUGUUAGUACUCUCUAUGGGUACAUCAAUUUAUGUGCUUGUUAACUAGGGAUGUCAAAUGGACCUGGUAACCAUGGGGUAGACUAAUCCAAAUUAUAAUAGUAUUGUUUUUUGGUUACGUCCAAAACCAAAAUGGUCAAUAUGGGCUAUAAACCAAUUGGGCCCGCCAGUAUAUGGAACAAACUCAUCUGAACAUGGACUGUUCAAUAAUCCUUAAGAAUUAAGGUUAUGAAUUUGGGGGGAAAAAUUAGAUUUAAAGCUAAAAGUUUUCAUUUCUCAUUUCUCAUUUUUCUCUCGAUUUGAGACGAUCUGAGACACAAAUCUCAUCCUCUCGACUCUUGAGCGUCGAUGGAUCUUGGUGGUGGCUGGUGGGUUCCUUCUCGAGUCUUUUAUCCUUCGGAUAACACAGAUUUUGAUUCUUCUCGAGGUUUGGAAAAUUGAAAGUUGGCUAAGAGCUCAUAAGACAUCUGAUGAUGUGACUAUCUAUGACAUGGUGUAUGUUAUGAUAGUAAAAUUCGACAAGUAUUAGGAAGACUUAUUUUGAUAUUCUUACUAUAGCUGCAGUCUUGGAUCCCAGAUUGAAGUUUGCAUUCUUAGGAUACUGCUAUGACACUUUAGAUCAAUCAAAUAGUAAGUCUAAGUUGGAUCACAUCCGUAAGAAGAUGCAGAAGAGUUUGGGAAGUAGGGUUCUUAAAGUACUCGAAAGACAAUGCUACACUUUUUAAGGAGUUGUCCCGUAUGGCAUGUGAUGUGCUAUGUAUUCCCACAAUAAUAGUGUCUUUUGAGUCAUCAUUUAGUGUGGGAAGUAGGGUUCUUAACAAGUACAUGAGCUGUCUUCUUCCAUCAAAUGUUCAAGCUCUGAUUUGUGCAAGAAAUUGGCUACGUGAAUCCGAGUUUUUGGAGGGAGAUAAAGAAUAAGCAGGAGAAGAAGAGGAGGAAGGAGAAGGUGGAAGAAAGAAGAUCCGAGUUACUUAGAAGGUGAAGGUUUGCUUUAAACCAUUGUGAUUCUGUCUUUAUUUGAGAUUCUGGGAAGAAAUGUGUAUCAUUGCAUUAUGAUUCUGUGAAUGUGUAUUGGUGUCUUUGUUUAUAUUUGAGAUUCUGGAAAAUGAUACUCAUUGAGAUUCUAAAUGUGUAUUGGUUAUGUUUUCGUUUUGUUAGGUAUUUGAAGAAUUAUUCAAUGAAUUAUUCAAUUAGACUAAAAGAUUCAUGAAGUUAUGAAGUAUUGACUUAUAAUACUUGUUUAGUAUGAUUUUGGAUUGUGUGAAACACUUAAGAGUUGUUUAGUAUGUAAAACACUUAUAGGUUGUUUAGUAUGGAGUUUUUUUUGUGUAAUUGAAUAAAUGUGUUCACGUAUUAUUUGAACCCCAUGGG
Arabidopsis lyrata subsp. lyrata is the source of this 1445-nucleotide long non-coding RNA. RefSeq lists it as uncharacterized. The record is from RefSeq and is a predicted model, not a curated record. Lineage: Eukaryota; Viridiplantae; Streptophyta; Magnoliopsida; Brassicales; Brassicaceae. The transcript is spliced from 3 exons.